RNAcentral lists this ribosomal RNA (305 nucleotides) under uncultured bacterium. RNAcentral describes it as "bacterial SSU rRNA". It matches the Rfam family "Bacterial small subunit ribosomal RNA", at positions 334 to 656 of the family's 1533-position model. The record is from RNAcentral.
GGACCCUACGGGGCGCAGCAGUGGGGAAUAUUGCACAAUGGGGGGAACCCUGAUGCAGCGACGCCGCGUGGGUGAAGAAGUCAUUCGUGACGUAAAGCCCUAUCAGCAGGGAAGAAAAUGACGGUACCUGACUAAGAAGCCCCGGCUAACUACGUGCCAGCAGCCGCGGUAAUACGUAGGGGGCAAGCGUUAUCCGGAUUUACUGGGUGUAAAGGGAGCGUAGACGGCUAAUCAAGUCAGAAGUGAAAACCCAGGGCUCAACCUUGGGACUGCUUUUGAAACUGAGUAGCUAGAGUGCAGGAGAG